AGCCUCCGUCUUGGUAAUGACAAAUAGAUCCCUAGCGGUUGUUCUGACAUGUGAUUAACCGAAUCAGCUACGUAGCCCUCUUUCACAGGGGAGGUGUGGCGGCAUAGCCUGCUUCCAGAAAGUCAUUCAUGUUGAAGGUGGUCGCCCAUUUACUGAGUUUUAAGCACUUCUUCUUAUAUGCUCACUUCGAUGCUCGAUUUUUGCCUUGCUUCGGGCCCUCGCCCGGAUAAAGCUGGAGACAUAGCAGACAUGUCCCAAGCAGAACGACCAUCCCGGAAACCACAGGUGGCGUGUAAGACUGGUUCCCGAACAGAAUUAGUCGAAAGCGAAAAUAGAGAGUCCCAGAAAGAGAAAGAAAGGGUGAGGAAGGAAAAAGGGGCCCAUCGACUGGGUAAACAGAGUCUCGAAAUCAAAAUGAGAAUCGUCGAGGCUAUCCUGCAUCCCCUACGUCUUUCAAAAAGAAUGACCCUAUUAGGUCUUAAAAAAUCCUGCCUUCUUGGCUUGUUUCAUUCCAUUCUUAUUCCAUCCAUUUCUCUAAAUAAACUCAAAAUAUAAUAAUAAUAAUAAUAGAAGCAAAAACAGAAUUCAACUUUUGAUGCUUAACAAACCCAUUUCGGAGAGCAUCUGCCUGGUCCUUACCAGUGAUGAGUGCCAAAAUUGCUUAAAUAAAACGACAUCAUCAGGUUCAUUCGCACGUCACAUCCACGGUACAAAGGUUCUCCUUUUUUAAAUGCCAUCGAAAGUGUCAUGUGGCUUUCAUUCGGGUCGAAUCAUUGAAAGUCGAUCUUUUUUUGGUCUUUCUUGAACACUCCUUGAGGAAAAGGCCCCUAGCUUUGGUUCAUACAUGUUUCUAUAUGAUAGAAAAUCUUUUAUGUUUAGCAGUCAUUCUUAGAAGUUCGUUUGAGAACGGUCGAGACCCUCGCGGGCAUCCUGUAGGUUCACCACUGGACUUGUUCAAACCUUGGUCUAUGGCAGCGGUGGUAGGAGUUGCAUAACUUGCAUCGUGAUUCCCGAUACUCCUCGUCGAAUAAAGGGCGAGCUCCGUGCGUGAGCAGCGACUAAGCUUAAUCCAAUCUUUCUUAACAAGAAUUUUGUACGCUUGAAGGCCCAUUCUCUACGGCAGGGUACAGAGACGAGGCCUUUGAUCCACCUCUUUGUUACAUAAAAAAAUGCAAAUCAAUCGGUCGAAUAACAAUUCUUUCUAGUAGCACCCACGACAGAAUGUCCGGAAUAUACAUCUUUUUUUGGGACGGAGGCACGCAUGCUAAAAAAAAACAUCAACUUGGAAGCGCCAUAAUAAAGAAAAAGAAAGAAUACGCCAGCAGAGGACCCUGCUCGAAAUCCUUUUUUCAGGUUUUCCCUUAAGAGAAGUCUCGGAUCAGGACUUGUUUCAAUAGCCUUUCGGAGGAGUGAACCAUCAGGCAGAAUGGAUACCGAGUUCGGGAGGCAGGUCAUAGCUUUCGAGCGAGACAACUCAUCAACGAUUGGUGCAGGAUUGACCACUCAGCUAUCCAAGUUACGUAAAAGACACAUUUUUAAGUUUUUCCCUGCCUCAUGAGGGCAAACUUUGAGUCCCAAACUUUUUGUCUGAAGCAAAUGCUGAAAGUCCAAGAUGAUGGUUUUGAACAUCCAAGAUGACACCCGAUCCACGCUCUCUUCCCUUGGUAAAGAGGAAUUCUAAAUCUAAAUCAAUCAUUUGAUCAAAUAAAAAAAGUACUUGGGCCUUAGAGGCAGCGGCUGGGAAAGCGAAGGGAAUAGGAAGACCUGGAACGAAGUCACUCGACUAAAAGAAGGUCUUAUUUGAGUUCAAAGCGAGGAGCCAGAGACAGAUUGCAAUUGCAAAAGCCAACUCUAAGAAGCAGCUUUACUUUAAAGAGGAGCAAAAGCAAAGGAGAGAAAAAAAAGGGGAGCUUAACAUAUAAAUCGGUUACACACUAAAGUAAAGGAAAGAUAGAUUCUAGUUAGCCUACCUGACUACACAAGAUAUUCUACAUGUGGUUAACAAAAGAGUCACUGGUUAUUGGCCUCAAGGCAAAGACGAGCUGGCUAAACUCUUAUCGAAAUUGCGUAUAGAAAGAAAGAGAGAUUCGUCUUGCUUCUUUGGAUUGAAGUGCGCGGUAAAUGCUUUUGACUGAACCUCCCAUUGCUCUCUCCGAUAGCAUGCAGCCGGGAGACAGAGAUAUAAAAAGUGUGCAGUGGGGGUGGUUGUAAAUCACUAGGUAGCCAGUCUUUACUUAACUCAGCCCAAGCUUGACUUAGCUCAAGCAAUGCCCAAAGACUCCCAUGCCUUUCUUGGUCGGACCAACCCAACCGGCUAUUUCCGACAAGUCUCUCUUUUUAGAACGAGAAGCGGAACUACAAUAAUUUCUUUUUUACGAUGUCGCCGACAGAAAUAGGCACCUACGUAAGUAGCUUGGGACUGUGCAAAUCUAUCAGUACUUUGAUUUUUAUCCGAGCCGCAUGGAUUCCUGAUCUAGAUCAAACUAAUUACCGCGAAAAGAUUUCUGAGAUUGGUGCCGAGACUCUCAGGGGACAACUCUCUGAUAGAUUCGAAUUUCUACUCAAAGAGAAGGGACUUCAACACUUGCCUGAAGGCUAUACAAUUCCGUACGUGAUGAAUCAGGUCCAUAACAACAACAAGACCAAUGAUAUACCCACACUAAAGGGAAUCUGGGAAAAUGUGAAUAUCUAUGGGCUUCAUAGUCAAUAUUAUCAAGAAGCGCUCGACAUAAUGGAUGAUUUGUGGGGCGCGAGAACCCACAGCCCCCUUGAGCAAUUUUCCAUUCUCCCAUUGAUUCCUAUGAAUAUAGGAAACUUGUAUUUCUCAUUCACAAAUCCAUCUUUGUUUAUGCUGCUAACUCUCAGUUUGGUCCUACUUCUGGUUCAUUUUGUUACUAAAAACGGAGGAGGAAACCCAGUACCAAAUGCUUGGCAAUCCUUGGUAGAGUUUAUUCAUGAUUUCGUGUCGAACCCGGUAAACGAACAAAUUGGUGGUCUUUCCGGAAAUGUUAAACAAAAGUUUUUCCCUCGCAUCUCGGUCACUUUUACUUUUUCGUUAUUUCGUAAU
RNAcentral lists this long non-coding RNA (3067 nucleotides) under Vitis vinifera (wine grape). RNAcentral describes it as "long non-coding RNA (VVIN_LNC004584)". The record is from RNAcentral. Lineage: Eukaryota; Viridiplantae; Streptophyta; Magnoliopsida; Vitales; Vitaceae.